CGGGAAGUAGCUCAGCUUGGUAGAGCACUUGGUUUGGGACCAAGGGGUCGCAGGUUCGAAUCCUGUCAUUCCGACCA
RNAcentral lists this transfer RNA (77 nucleotides) under Lysinibacillus sphaericus. RNAcentral describes it as "tRNA-Pro". It matches the Rfam family "tRNA". From Rfam's summary of the family: Transfer RNA (tRNA) molecules are approximately 80 nucleotides in length. Their secondary structure includes four short double-helical elements and three loops (D, anti-codon, and T loops). Lineage: Bacteria; Bacillati; Bacillota; Bacilli; Caryophanales; Bacillaceae. The record is from RNAcentral.